Molecule: RNA transcript, 5529 nt
Organism: Strigops habroptila (Kakapo)
Lineage: Eukaryota; Metazoa; Chordata; Aves; Psittaciformes; Psittacidae
Gene: FBXO21
Gene name: F-box protein 21
Exons: 12
Source: RefSeq, a predicted model, not a curated record
UUCUUCAGGCGGCGGCACUUGGCAGACGCUCCCCGGGCCGUUCCUCCGCCUUCGCCCUGCGCCGGAAGCGGGAGACGCUCCCUAACCCCUCCCGCAGGGGGGGCGCGCAGGUAAACAUCCAAGAUGGCGGCGGCGGAGGGUCCGGACCCGGGCCCGGUGGCGGCGGCGGGGCCGGGGGUGCCGCGGGGCGCGGCGGAGGCGGACGGCGACAGGAUGGGCCUGACGGACCUGCCGGGCGAGCUGCUGGAGCUGAUCCUCUGCUGCGACGUGCUGGGAGCCGCCGACAUCGGGCGGGUGUCGUGCACCUGCCGCCGGCUGCGUGAGGCGUGCCAGCCCCGCGGCAAGGUGUGGCGGGAGCGCUUCCGCCUCAGAUGGCCAUCGCUGCUGAAGUACUACAGCCACACAGAUGGUGUUAGCUGGCUUGAAGAAUACAAAGCACGGCACAAUGCUGGCCUGGAAGCCCAGAGAAUUGUAGCUUCAUUCUCCAAAAGGUUCUUUUCAGAACAUGUCCCCUGUGAUGGGUUCAGUGACAUUGAGACUCUUGGGUGCCCAAGUCAUUUUUUUGAGGAUGAGCUGAUGUGUAUCCUUAACAUGGAAGGAAGGAAAGGUCUCACCUGGAAGUACUAUGCAAAGAAAAUUCUCUACUUCCUACGGCAGCAGAACAUCCUAAAAAACCUGAAGGAGUAUCUUCAGCGCCCGACGGAUCGGCAGUCGUUUCUGGAGGGUGCUGUUUUAAUCGAUCAGUACUGUAACCCCCUGUCAGACAUCUGCUUAAAAAGUGUCCAGGCACAAGUGGAUGAUAUCACAGACAAAGUGCGCAAAGUCCUGCGGACGAGGAACCCGAGGCACCCCAGCUUGGCUUCCAAGGCAGGAGAGGUCCUGAUUCCAGAAGUGGAGCUUCAGCGGCAGGUACUUGAUGCUAUGAAUUGUGUCCUAUAUGAGCAGUUGAAAUAUAAAGGAAACGAGCUGGAUUACUACAACUCCCUGAAUUCAUACAUUCACCAGGUUUUGAUCCGCAGGACAGGAAUUCCCAUCAGCUUGUCUGUGCUGUAUUUAACAAUUGCCAGGCAGCUGGGAGUCAAGCUUGAACCAGUGAACUUCCCUAGCCAUUUUCUGCUGCGAUGGUGUCAAGGAAAGGAAGGAAGCACUGAUAUUUUUGACUACACCUACAUUGAUGCCUUUGGGAAGGGGAAGCAGCUGACAGUGAAGGAGUGUGAGUACCUUAUUGGCCACCAUGUGACAGAAGAGUUCUAUGGAGUGGUGACUUCAAAAGAGGUCUUGCAGCGGAUGGUGGGGAAUCUCUUAAACCUUGGCAAGCGAGAAAGCACUGAUCAGUCUUAUCAACUCUUGAGAGACUCGUUGGAUCUAUACCUGGCCAUGUAUCCGGACAAUGUGCAGCAUCUAAUGCUCCAGGCUAGGUUAUACUUCCACCUGGGAAUCUGGCCAGAAAAGGUUCUGGACAUCUUGCAGCAUAUUCAGGCUUUGGACCCAUCCCAGCAUGGGGCCGUUGGGUACUUAGUUCAACAUACCCUGGAGCACAUUGAGCGGCGGAAGGAGGAGGUGGGACCCGAGGUGAAGCACCGUUCAGAUGAGAAGCACAAAGAGGUCUGCUUUUCCAUCGGGCUGAUUAUGAAACACAAGAGAGGCAAAAUUUCCACAGCCCAGAGCUCCCGAAGAAACAUCAGUAAUCAGUUUCUGAUGAGGGACCAUGGAACAGAAUCUACUUCAAAAGAGACUGUAAGAUUCCUAAGACAGCUUAUGGAUCUUUCCCUGUGCUAUUAUUAUCCCCUCUUUCUGCAUUGCACAGAGGCUUUGCAUCCCUGUCUGUACUACUCUGCCAGAGUGACAUGCCGGCCCUGUGUUGCUUCAGCUACUCCUCUGACUCGACAUGUGGAACGUAUUUGAAGGCCAUCAGCAGUGACAGUUACAAUACCUCAGGAUUAAUCACAUAAAUAUGCUGAAAAUAAUGAUGGCUUUAGUUCUGGGAGUUCAAUACUGGGAUUACCACAUCUGUGUGAUGGGCACACAAGUAAUUGCACAGCACAGUAGGAUGGUUGAUUCCUUUCCUGUUGUUUCCUGUUCUGGUUGCUGGCCUAGAGUAUCCCUCUCAUUCUCUCUUUUUCUUGCUCACGUUUGGUUUUCCUUUGUCCUCAGCUGUUUGUUCCUGUCUAUUUAUCCAGUCACUCCUGAUCAUUUCUCCAACCUCCAAAUACACAAUCUUUUUGUGCCACCUCACAGGAGGUUUCUGUCCUGUUUGUGCUGUAUUAGUCUUGAGGGAAAAGAGCUGGCUCUGGAACUCUCACAGUCUUUGAUGUGCUAUUUCUUUUAAUUAGAUAUGGCUACAACUGUGUGAUUUAUGGCUGGGAUCCUGCCUGCAUGAUGGGGCAUGAAUGGAUCCGGAAUAUGAACGUCCACAGCCUUCCACAUGGCCCCCACCAGCCUUUCUACAAUGUACUAGUGGAAGAUGGCUCUUGCAGAUAUGCUGCUCAAGAGAACCUGGAAUACAACUCUGAGCCUCGGGAGAUCCCUCACCCUGACAUCGGCCGCUAUUUCUCAGAGUUUACUGGCAUUCACUACCUAGCAAAUACCGAGCUAGAAAUUCGGUACCCAGAGGAUUUGGAGCUCACGCGUGCCACAGUUCAGAAGAUCUACAAUUCAGGCAAGGAGUGAAUGCAAAAGGCACCGUGAGGACACAAGCAGCUGGAGUGUAGCUUUACCCUCUUUGCAAAACUUGCGUGGGAGGCAAGUUUGGUGACAAUCCUUUGGCUUAAUGCAUUGAAAAUUGCAUUGAACUUUGUUAACUGGUGCUAUAGCAUCUUUCUGUUGCCUGCCUGCCCAUUCUGGCCCAAAGGCACAGGGACACAUUAGUAGUUGAGGCCAAGCUUAAGGAUCUUGCAGGGACAGUCGUGUUGAGAAGCGUGUUGUCCUCUGGAAGGAUUUGCACAUACUACUCGUUCUGUGAUUGUCUUGCCUAGAAGGUCAACUCAGUGAGAUCCCUGGUGUGGAAUAUGGAAGAAGCCCCUCUUCCAGAGAAGGAAGUCGCUUGUCCUUGCAGUGACGUGGGUUUUGUUUGGUUGUGUUUUGGGGUUUUUUUAAUGUUUUAAUCUCAUGCAGGUGAUAGUUUUUAAAGUCUCUUACGUUUCACUGUUGUCUUCUCCCGUCUGAAUUCUUGGUCAGAUUUUGCUCCACCUCUGUAGUCUGAUUGUUCAUAGAGCUACCAUUCCAAUUCUAAAUAUCCUCACGGGCCUGGGAAAGAGCCCCAGCAACAAAACCAGUAGCAGCUAAGCUUCCAGGGGUGGCCAGAGCACUGGUAACACUGAGGUCCAGUUGGCCACCUUCCUGAUGACGCAAACUCUCCUAAUGCUGAAGAUGAACUUCUAGCCCUUUCCCUUGCCUGUUAAACAUAUGCAGUCCGUGUUCUUACCUUGUUUUUCACUCUGUUCAUUGUUUAUGUCCAAGGCAGGAUCUAUGGCACAGCUGUGAGUGCUCCCAGGAUGAUUUUGAAUCUCAUGGCACUGUUGCAUGGAAGCCUUGAGGUCAGUGCCAGGGUGACUUUGAUGCAUGGGGAGCUUCCACUUGCUGCUAUGUCUCAUCUAUAGGUAUUUAUGCAAUACAGUGGGAUUGUGACUGGAAACUGGCCAACACUGGAGUCAGCCAGACUGUGUAUGGAAAAGAGAUGUGAAUUCCUGCAGCUUGAGGCCUUCUUCCUUUUUGCCAAAAGAGAAUGGAUUUUGGGGGAGUACGUAUUCCGCUGCCCAGAAAGGAAGAGCUUCAGCAGCUCAAGGCACAUGAAUUUUAACAUGACUUAAAGGCCCAGACAAAACCACUGCAGAAAAGGUUUUCCUCUGGGUUCAGGUAUUACAGGGUGCAGAGUGACACAGUGUCUGUGCAUCCCUGGAACCUGCAUAUCUUUGUGGUUUCUGAAGCAAUGUCUGUAGACUAACUGCAGUUAGUGUCUCCUGUCACUGUCCACUUGCAAUACAGUAGUUAUCUCAAAGAUGAGAAUUAGGUACUGUACCCUGUAGAGUUAGGUGGAUGCUCUUAGUCAAUUAUAGCACUUCAGGUAUCCCCACGUGAAAUCCCACAGCCCUCCUCUUAAAAGAAUGCUUGAACUGCAUGCCGUCCUAUUGGAAUACUGAGCACUGAUUAAAUAUGAGAAAUAAAUAUGGAAAGCCCAGCACUUUUGCCAGUGGAGUGGUGGUGGUGGUGUGCAGGAUCUCGGUGCUUUAGGAAGAAGAGCCCUGUGUGGUUAGUGCUGAGGAAUGGUGAAGGUGCUGUACUCGAAGUAAAACUGUGUCUUUAAAGAAAUCUGUACUGAAAUGGACUAGGAGGGAGGGAAGGAAGAAGGGACUAAAGAACUUCAAUGGAAGCAGGAAGGACCCAACUAAAAGCCACAUAAGGAGUCAUUAGGCAGAAUCCUAAAAUCUUGGAGGACCCCAGCCCUCCAACCCUAUUUGAGGGUUGAUAACAGGUUUGUAGCAGGGAUGCAAGGCUGGGAAUGGGACUGUUGAGCCAAAAGGUUGAUGCUGGUAGCUGAGAACAGGCAUGCAGCAGCAGGGCUUAGGCUCCCCAUUCCCAGCCUCAGCUUGGAUGAGGUUUGCUCUGCGACAGCAGAGAUAUUGGGGAGCUUCCUGGGGCUUUAUGCUCCCCUCUGCCAAAUGGCUGGUCUCUUGACACCUUGCCCCCUCAAGUGCAUCGAGGGAAUUGCCACAUACUGAGCUUAGAGGAAUCCUUAGCAAGAUAUGCUGCCUGAAUACUGAGUAGAAUCAGGCCAUAAAAAGCCACAGGAGUCAACAGAAAGCUACCCAAAGUUGCUCUGAAAACUGGUACUGGACAACGCGCAUGUAACCCACUUAUAAACAUACUGUGUACUUUAGGAUGAGGGUCCCAGUGUAGCAACAGAUCCCAUUAUACCCACCUUUCUGGGGCCACUCUAGGUUUAUACUCUGGAAAGAGUGAACAAGGAGCAGUGGGAACUGCUCUUCAUGAGGUUCUCGCAGUCUUCCCCCACCCACAGGCUUUAACCAUUUCCAGUUUUGCGUGGGGUGCAAGAGGAGAGUGUCACAGGCGAGGGCAGACACAUGCACAGGGAAUCCAGCAGCCCUGUAACUAAAGUCUCUCAUCCUUUCAGCAGUGUGUUACAGGUCUGUUUGCCUGCUUUGCCACACAGACCACAUCAGUGCCAACACAGCCUUGUAUGUGCCAAAUUCAGAGGAGGCUGGAGGAGUUGCAACAGGCACCACACAACAUCAGCACAGGGGCCCAGUCCAAUUCUAGGAUCCAGACAAAACCAAAGGAAGUGGUGUGUAAAGGCUGUCCUUUCUCUUCCUGUUUUGGUUUUGGCUGGGCAUGCCAGCCACCUCCUUCUGUGUUGCUGCUGGUGGGGUAGGCUGUGUUGCAUGCUACAGGUUGAGUCUUUGGUCUUGACAAGGAGGAAUUCCCAUGUAAGUAUUUAUUUGCAGCUGUGGGAGACCCCAGCCCAAGCAUCCAGUGUGGCCAAGGAAAAAGAACCACAAGGAUACCUCUCUA